UGGGGAAAGCUGUGCUCUCAGGGCUUGGAGCACUGCCUAACUGGAUCAGCCGCCCAGGCUGGCAGCACCAGCCUCCUAGAGGGUCUUCUGUAAGGUUUGCACCCAUGGGCUGUGCCUAGGGGAGACGGGGGCGGGGCCUCUGUGGCUUUAUCUUUUCCAGGUCUCCACCAACACCACUUCCCCGCCCCACACUGCCACACGCCUGCAGAUGCUGCCCACUCUUUUGCACGGUGGCUUCUGCUGGGGUUCACUGCUGGUGUGUAUCCACGGAGGAGACCCGAGGACAGUGAGGGGGUGCCUUUCUUGGCAUAUUACUGUGGGAUAGCGUCAGUUUUUUUUUUUUUCCAGAGAGAAGGUCAGAGCUUUGCUCAAGGGGCCCAAAGCUUGGAAAUCUGAGUUCUGCUAAGCACUCCUCCCCCUUUCUUUGGGGGGGGGUAUGCUGUAGACUGAAUGGCUGUCUCCAAGUCAUUGCUCUUCCUGGUAUCCAAGCGCCCUGCCCGGAUGUGGCUUUGCAGAUGCUCACAUAAGAGGCACGGUGCCUGGCCUCUUGCCCUUGACUUGGCUCUGUGACCUGCUUUGUCCAACGGAUGUGGGCUGAACUGUCUGUACGCCAGUGCAAGCUGGGGUCCUAGAAAGCGUGUCACGUCUCCAUGUGCCUCUGCCAUCUCUGGAAGAGUUUCCCCUGCACAACUGGUGCCUCUUCACUGCGGACUUUGGAAAGAACAUCUGUGGGACUGACCAAAGAUGUAAACCCCCAGCUUCCUGCUCCUGCUGCCAGACUGAUGCUUGUAGCCUCACAGCCGUGAUGGACCGAAUAAACUCUUUCCUCCGUGGGCAUCCAGAAGAACCCUUUCAAGUCACGAGGUCAGGCACUUGGGAUGCAGCUCAGUGCCACAUUGCGAACUUAACACAAAUCAGGCUGUGGUUGUGACCCCCAGCACCGCAGAAGGAAGUCAAACGAUAAACAGACACAUGCUUCGUGGUGUCAUUGCAUCAGCGGCCUCCUUGGGAUUUAUCCAAGUGUAACUCUCCGGAGAGGAAAACCCCAGUUCUCUCUGGUUAUAAGCCUAAGGCUCCUUAGGGCCCCAUAUUCUCUUCUUCUCCCUUCUGGAAGAAGCUGGCUUGAGAGAGUGAUGCUGACAAACCCAAAAACCAGUGGAGAUGAAUACAAAGAGGGAGAUUUGACAAAAGAAAGACACUAUACUUAUUCAUUUAAUUUUUUUAUUAUUCUCGCAUAUAUUACAUCCUGACAGCAGUUUCCCCUCCCUCCCCUCCCCCACUCUGCCCC
This is a long non-coding RNA of Mesocricetus auratus (golden hamster), 1288 nucleotides long. RefSeq lists it as uncharacterized. Lineage: Eukaryota; Metazoa; Chordata; Mammalia; Rodentia; Cricetidae. The record is from RefSeq and is a predicted model, not a curated record. The transcript has 3 exons.